RNAcentral lists this ribosomal RNA (253 nucleotides) under uncultured bacterium. RNAcentral describes it as "partial 16S ribosomal RNA". It matches the Rfam family "Bacterial small subunit ribosomal RNA", at positions 524 to 776 of the family's 1533-position model. The record is from RNAcentral.
UGCGUAGGUGGCAAGCGUUGUCCGGAAUUAUUGGGCGUAAAGCGCGCGCAGGCGGUCCUUUAAGUCUGGUGUGAAAGCCCACGGCUCAACCGUGGAGGGUCAUUGGAAACUGGGGGACUUGAGUGCAGAAGAGGAAAGUGGAAUUCCACGUGUAGCGGUGAAAUGCGUAGAGAUGUGGAGGAACACCAGUGGCGAAGGCGAGUCUCUGGACAUUUCCUGACGCUGAGGCACGAAAGCCAGGGGAGCAAACGGG